AUGAACACAUCCACUUUGGACAUGAGUUCUUCGUCAUCUUCAUCUGGCGACGAUGAACUCAUACUUGCAGCAUUCGCCGAGCGCGAGGAGGAAGAGAGGAUGAACGCUCGACGCCAUGGCGGUUCCAAGCAUGGACGUCAAACAAUCAAUCGAGGAAGAGAUGCCGGAUUUGUUCUUCUGUGGGACGACUACUUCAAAGAAGUUCCUCGCUAUCCCGAACAUUUGUUUCGACGAAGAUUUAGGAUGUCCCGUAAUUUGUUCAAACACGUAGCCGAUGGUAUACUUGAGCAUGAUUAUGAUGGUUAUUUUACUUAA
Molecule: ribosomal RNA, 315 nt
Filed under: Triticum aestivum (bread wheat)
Lineage: Eukaryota; Viridiplantae; Streptophyta; Magnoliopsida; Poales; Poaceae
Description: partial small subunit ribosomal RNA
Source: RNAcentral